GAUGAACGCUAGCUACAGGCUUAACACAUGCAAGUCGAGGGGCAGCAUGGUCUUAGCUUGCUAAGGCCGAUGGCGACCGGCGCACGGGUGAGUAACACGUAUCCAACCUGCCGUCUACUCUUGGACAGCCUUCUGAAAGGAAGAUUAAUACAAGAUGGCAUCAUGAGUCCGCAUGUUCACAUGAUUAAAGGUAUUCCGGUAGACGAUGGGGAUGCGUUCCAUUACAUAGUAGGCGGGGUAACGGCCCACCUAGUCUUCGAUGGAUAGGGGUUCUGAGAGGAAGGUCCCCCACAUUGGAACUGAGACACGGUCCAAACUCCUACGGGAGGCAGCAGUGAGGAAUAUUGGUCAAUGGGCGAGAGCCUGAACCAGCCAAGUAGCGUGAAGGAUGACUGCCCUAUGGGUUGUAAACUUCUUUUAUAAAGGAAUAAAGUCGGGUAUGCAUACCCGUUUGCAUGUACUUUAUGAAUAAGGAUCGGCUAACUCCGUGCCAGCAGCCGCGGUAAUACGGAGGAUCCGAGCGUUAUCCGGAUUUAUUGGGUUUAAAGGGAGCGUAGAUGGAUGUUUAAGUCAGUUGUGAAAGUUUGCGGCUCAACCGUAAAAUUGCAGUUGAUACUGGAUAUCUUGAGUGCAGUUGAGGCAGGCGGAAUUCGUGGUGUAGCGGUGAAAUGCUUAGAUAUCACGAAGAACUCCGAUUGCGAAGGCAGCCUGCUAAGCUGCAACUGACAUUGAGGCUCGAAAGUGUGGGUAUCAAACAGGAUUAGAUACCCUGGUAGUCCACACGGUAAACGAUGAAUACUCGCUGUUUGCGAUAUACAGCAAGCGGCCAAGCGAAAGCGUUAAGUAUUCCACCUGGGGAGUACGCCGGCAACGGUGAAACUCAAAGGAAUUGACGGGGGCCCGCACAAGCGGAGGAACAUGUGGUUUAAUUAGAUGAUACGCGAGGAACCUUACCCGGGCUUAAAUUGCAGAUGAAUUACGGUGAAAGCCGUAAGCCGCAAGGCAUCUGUGAAGGUGCUGCAUGGUUGUCGUCAGCUCGUGCCGUGAGGUGUCGGCUUAAGUGCCAUAACGAGCGCAACCCUUGUUGUCAGUUACUAACAGGUUCCGCUGAGGACUCUGACAAGACUGCCAUCGUAAGAUGUGAGGAAGGUGGGGAUGACGUCAAAUCAGCACGGCCCUUACGUCCGGGGCUACACACGUGUUACAAUGGGGGGUACAGAGGGCCGGUACCACGCGAGUGGAUGCCAAUCCCCAAAACCUCUCUCAGUUCGGACUGGAGUCUGCAACCCGACUCCACGAAGCUGGAUUCGCUAGUAAUCGCGCAUCAGCCACGGCGCGGUGAAUACGUUCCCGGGCCUUGUACACACCGCCCGUCAAGCCAUGGGAGCCGGGGGUACCUGAAGUGCGUAACCGCGAGGAG
RNAcentral lists this ribosomal RNA (1420 nucleotides) under uncultured organism. Its description in RNAcentral is "16S ribosomal RNA". It matches the Rfam family "Bacterial small subunit ribosomal RNA". The record is from RNAcentral.